GACCUUGCGCAGUGGCAAUAUCGUAACCAAUGAAGGCCUCCCGAGGUGCGAUUAUUGCUAGUUGAAUAGGUUGUUCUAAAACUCAAGCUCAAUUCAUCUUAGUUUGAAUCCAUUCUUAAAUAUAAACUUGUUCAAACAA
Molecule: small nuclear RNA, 139 nt
Filed under: Rhodnius prolixus
Lineage: Eukaryota; Metazoa; Arthropoda; Insecta; Hemiptera; Reduviidae
Description: U4 spliceosomal RNA
Rfam family: U4 spliceosomal RNA
About the family: U4 small nuclear RNA (U4 snRNA) is a component of the major U2-dependent spliceosome. The structure of U4 snRNA from yeast and human has been reported. U4 snRNA presents a k-turn RNA motif in the 5p-SL related to recognition of Snu13 protein.
Source: Rfam by way of RNAcentral